ACAAAUUAGAGCUUGUUUAAAGCGUUUUACUUACACUAAAAAGUUAAUUGUUAAAUUCAAUUUAAUUUG
Molecule: transfer RNA, 69 nt
Filed under: Coleoptera sp. ACP-2013
Lineage: Eukaryota; Metazoa; Arthropoda; Insecta; Coleoptera
Description: tRNA-Val
Rfam family: tRNA
About the family: Transfer RNA (tRNA) molecules are approximately 80 nucleotides in length.
Source: RNAcentral